UACGGAGGAUCCAAGCGUUAUCCGGAUUUAUUGGGUUUAAAGGGUGCGUAGGCGGCCUAUUAAGUCAGGGGUGAAAGACGGUAGCUUAACUAUCGCAGUGCCCUUGAUACUGAUGGGCUUGAAUAUACUUGAGGUAGGCGGAAUGUGACAAGUAGCGGUGAAAUGCAUAGAUAUGUCACAGAACACCAAUUGCGAAGGCAGCUUACUAAGGUAUGAUCGACGCUGAGGCACGAAAGCGUGGGGAUCAAACAGG
RNAcentral lists this ribosomal RNA (253 nucleotides) under uncultured bacterium. RNAcentral's name for it is "partial 16S ribosomal RNA". It matches the Rfam family "Bacterial small subunit ribosomal RNA", at positions 524 to 776 of the family's 1533-position model. The record is from RNAcentral.